UACGUAGGGUGCAAGCGUUGUCCGGAGUUACUGGGUGUAAAGGGCGCGUCGGUGGGUUUGUAAGUCAGAGGUGAAAUCCUGCAGCUUAACUGUAGAACUGCCUCUGAUACUGCAAAUCUUGAGUUCGGAAGAGAGAAGCGGAAUUCCAGGUGUAGUAGUGAAAUACGUAGAUAUCUGGAAGAACACCAGUGGCGAAGGCGGCUUCUUGGUCUGUAACUGACACUGAGGCGCGAAAGCGUGGGGAGCAAACAGG
RNAcentral lists this ribosomal RNA (253 nucleotides) under uncultured bacterium. RNAcentral's name for it is "partial 16S ribosomal RNA". It matches the Rfam family "Bacterial small subunit ribosomal RNA", at positions 524 to 776 of the family's 1533-position model. The record is from RNAcentral.